Meriones unguiculatus (Mongolian gerbil) is the source of this 3650-nucleotide long non-coding RNA. RefSeq lists it as uncharacterized. The record is from RefSeq and is a predicted model, not a curated record. The transcript is spliced from 4 exons. NCBI's taxonomy places the organism in Eukaryota, Metazoa, Chordata, Mammalia, Rodentia, Muridae.
GGUGGUAGUGGUGAGGGACAUAUUGUCAUAGUCUUUCAGAUUUUGUUUUGUGUGAUGUGACCUGAGCAUAUGGACUUACUUUAUUGGCUGUAUGUCUGAAAUGACAAUCUUGCUAUCUCUGUUGGAUGGAAGUUUUGCUGUUUCUCAAAAUUGGUUGAUUUCAGAUCAGAAAUGAGGAGUUUGUAGGUCAGAUCUUAGUAUUCAGUGUUAAUUUUUAAUUGGAGACACUGGCUUGAUUCCAAUUUAGUGGUAACUGGGGAAACCUGCAAAUGGACUUGGUCUGAGUACAGAAGGGCCACGUGGGGGAAGGGAUCUGGGACAGACUCGCCGACAGAGAGUGGGAGUUUGACUCCCUGGUGGGCCUGGGCAAGGAGGGGUGGGGCUGAGGCGACUCACCACCAGCACGUGUGUGGGUGCACUCUGGGCGUGGAGAGAUGCCGACAAGGUGUGGAAUGUGUACGGAAGAGCGUGGCUGCCAGAGCGGUGAACAUUUACACAACUUCCCUGCAUAUAACUCAUCCGUGUUGGGAGAUGCAUUGCUUGGACCUGUGGAACUAGGCAAGUGACCACACCGGGCCUCAGUUUCCUCAUUUGUAAACCAGGCUGAUGCUGAUGUUCCUUCCCGAGGCUGAUGGAAUGACUGAAUGGGAUGCCGAGCGUGAAAGGUGGAGAAGAACCAGGCGUGUGUCAGGCACUCCGUCCACAGAGCAAAAGGAGCAGACAUCAAAAAGGACAAGACUGUCUUUGCCCAGGUGACCUCAAUAACUGUUUCCUCAAAUAUAUGCAUCUGAGACAAUUGCAAAAUGGCUAGCUAGGUAGUCCAGCAUCACAGACUGUUCCAGUGAAUACUUCAGCUAAGCUCUGAAAUUUCUCAGCAUUCAGAGACUGUACAGCAAAAGUUACAGGUAGCUUUCUUAAGACUGGACAAUAUCCCAAUUUCUUGGUCAUUCCAAAAGAAAAACUAUGUCCCAAAUCAGCAGGAAGCAAUUUAAGAAAAUUACACCCAUUCCCAAGAGAUAGUGGAUGUUUUUGUUUUUUUGUUUUUGUUUUUUUUUUUUGGUCAUUCUAUGGGUGAUAGAUAUUUGUUAUUGUUUUAAAGGGAUUUGUUAUAGGGAUGAUAAAUAAAGGGUAGAUUAUUAAAUCUACUUUUAGAACAAAACAUUAAUAAACCAAAAUUCUUACAUUGAUAUAAAUCUUUGUAUAUUAAUACAGAUUUAAGAUUAUAUUUGGUUACAACAUGCUAAGGUAUUGUACCUAUAUAAUUCUUAAAACUGAAAUGUUAAAUUCUAGUCCUUUUUACAUAAUUAUUUUUAUUAAUUACAGUUUAUUCACUUUGUAUCCCCCAUGUACAUCCCUCCCUCCUCCCCUCCCAAUCCCACCCUCCUCCUUCCCCACCCCUGUCCAUCUCCCAGUCCACUGAUAAGGGAGGUCCUCUUCCCCUUCCCUCUGAUCCUAGUCUAUCAGGUCUCAUCAGGAGUGGCUGCAUUGUCUUCUUCUGUGGUCUGGUAAGGGCUCCCCCCUCAGGGGGAGGUGAUCAAAGAGCAGGCCAAUCAGUUCCUGCCAGAGACAGUCCCUGUCCCCAUUACUAUGAAGGACACUGAACUGCCAUAGGCUACCUCCAUGCAGGGGUUUCAGGCCAUCUCCAUGAGUGGUUCUUGGCUGGAGUAUCAGUUUCAGAAAAGACCCCUUUGCCCAGACUUUUUGGAUCUGUUGCUCUCCUUGUGGAGCUCCUGUCCUCUCUAGGUCUUACUAUCUCCCACUUCUUUCAUAAGAUUCCCUGCACUCUGCCCAAAGUUUGGCUAUGAGUCUCAGCAUCUGCCUCAAUACCCUGCAGGGUAGAGCCUUUCAGAGGCCCUCUGUGGUAGGCUCCUGUCCUAUUCCCUGUUUUCUCCCUCCUCCAAUGUCCAUCAUGUUUGCCUUUCUGAAUGAGGAUUGAGCAUCUUAGCCAGAGCUGUCCUUCUUGUUUAGCUUCCAUAGGUGUAGAGAUUUUAGUAUGUUCAUCCUAUAUUAUAUGUCUAAUAUCCACUUUUGAGUGAGUAUGUACCCUAUGUGUCUUUCUGCUUCUGGGAUACCUCACUCAGGAUGAUCUUUUCCAGUUCCCACCAUUUACCUGCAAAUUUCAUGAUUUUCUUGUUUUUUUAUUGCUGAGUAAUAUUCCAUUGUGUAGAUGUAUCACAAUUUCUAUAUCCAUUCCUCAACUGAGGGGCAUCUGGGCUGUUUCCAGCUUCUGGCUAUUAUAAAUAAAGCUGCUACAAACAUGGUUGAGCAGAUGUCCUUUGAGCAUCUUUUGGAUAUAUGCCUAGGAGUGGUAUAGCUGGAUCUUGAGGAAGCACUAUUCCUAAUUGUCUGAGAUAGCGCCAGAUUGAUUUCCAAAGUGGUUGUAUAAGUUUCAGUUCUUUUGAAAACUGCUAUUAAGAACUGUUUAUGAUAUGUAAGAAAUGUAUACUAGCAGUUAGACAAGCAAACUCAUGGCCUUGUUAAAUGAUAGUCUAAUAAAUUAAAAAUAUGCUUCCUAGAUUGACAGAUAAAAAAUAGUUUGAAACAAACAAUUCAGAUAAGAUAAAUAGAUAGCUGAUCUUAAAAAAACCUCAGAGAUCUAUAGAAUACGGCACUUAAAGAUAUUUUAUUAAUUUAAGGCUUUUUUUUUUUUUUGACCAUGAGACAAGUCUGCUCCUGGAAGCACCCCUGUUCUACUUCAAAGAGCUUCAAAGGCUCACAUGUGGCAAGCUAGCCACUGGAUGAGAAAAUGCCCUUGUGUCAAUUACAGACAAAAUACUGUCUAAACUGGACAAAUUGGAGGUGGGAAAGUCGACUGCUGAGCUUUGCAAGAACAAGGUAGGCAAGUCCUUUCUUCACAGAGAGGUCUGUCAAAUAUUCUGAGCUGGAAGGCUAACGAUGAUGCUCCAAUGUUAUUGAAGAACUUCUCAGGACGGUCCAGGCCAGAUAUCUCUGUCAUUUCUGUGCCUUUGGAAGUUCCUUGCCUACUCUUCCUACAUAUUCAGGUCUUGUGUAUGGAGUCACAGUCACUAUGAGUUCAUUCGUGGAACAAUCCUAAAGAAGGUAAACACUAAGGAGGACCCUAGAGAGGAUGCUUAAUUCUCAUUCAGUAUGGCAAACAGGAAAGACACCAGAAGCGGUGGAAGAGAGGAAACAGGAUGGCGGCCUACUACAGAGGGUCCUCUGAAAUGAUCCACCCAACAGGGGAUUGAAGCAGAUGCUGAGCGUCGCAGCCAAACUUUGGGCAGAGAGCAGGGAGUCUUAUGGAAGAAGAGAGGGGUGGGGAUAGAGCGACAUGGAGGGGACAGGAGCCCCACAAGGAGACCAACAAAGCUAAAGGAUCUGAGUCCAGGGGGUCCUGCAGAGACUGAUGCACCAGUGGAGGACCAUGCAUGGAGAGGACCUAGACCCCCUGCUCAGAUGUGGCUGAUUGGCAGCUCAGUCUCCAUGUGGAUCUCUGAGUGAGGGGAGAUGGGGCUGCCUCUAUCGUGAACUCAGUUGACUGCUCUGUGAUCACUUGCCCCUGGUGAUGCAGCCUUGCUAGGCCACAGAGGAAGAGGAUCCAGGCCGUCCUAAUGAGAGUUAACAAGCUAUGGGCAGAUGGCAAUGGUGGAAAACUUCCCCUUUCAGUGGACUAGGGGAAGGGGAUAGAG